CCUACGGGCGGCAGCAGUGAGGAAUAUUGGUCAAUGGACGAGAGUCUGAACCAGCCAAGUAGCGUGAAGGAUGACUGCCCUAUGGGUUGUAAACUUCUUUUAUAUGGGAAUAAAAUGUUCCACGUGUGGGAUUUUGUAUGUACCAUAUGAAUAAGGAUAGGCUAACUCCGUGCCAGCAGCCGCGGUAAUACGGAGGAUCCGAGCGUUAUCCGGAUUUAUUGGGUUUAAAGGGAGCGUAGGUGGAUUGUUAAGUCAGUUGUGAAAGUUUGCGGCUCAACCGUAAAAUUGCAGUUGAAACUGGCAGUCUUGAGUACAGUAGAGGUGGGCGGAAUUCGUGGUGUAGCGGUGAAAUGCUUAGAUAUCACGAAGAACUCCGAUUGCGAAGGCAGUUCACUGGACUGCAACUGACACUGAGGCUCGAAAGUGUGGGUAUCAAACAGGAUUAGAUACCCCAGUAGUC
RNAcentral lists this ribosomal RNA (460 nucleotides) under uncultured bacterium. RNAcentral's name for it is "partial 16S ribosomal RNA". It matches the Rfam family "Bacterial small subunit ribosomal RNA", at positions 338 to 795 of the family's 1533-position model. The record is from RNAcentral.